This 993-nucleotide ribosomal RNA is filed under the name uncultured bacterium. RNAcentral's name for it is "bacterial SSU rRNA". It matches the Rfam family "Bacterial small subunit ribosomal RNA", at positions 1 to 1003 of the family's 1533-position model. The record is from RNAcentral.
GAAUUCGCCCUUAGAGUUUGAUCCUUGCUCAGGACGAGCGCUGGCGGCACGCCUAACACAUGCAAGUCGAGCGGAGAUUGAGAGCUUGCUCUCAUGAUCAGCGGCGGACGGGUGAGUAACACGUGAGCAACCUGCCUUUCAGAGGGGGACAACAGUUGGAAACGGCUGCUAAUACCGCAUAAGCCCACGGUGCCGCAUGGCACAGAGGGAAAAGGAGCAAUCCGCUUUGAGAUGGCCUCGCGUCUGAUUAGCUAGUUGGUGAGGUAAUGGCCCACCAAGGCGACGAUCGGUAGCCGGACUGAGAGGUUGAACGGCCACAUUGGGACUGAGACACGGCCCAGACUCCUACGGGAGGCAGCAGUGGGGAAUAUUGCACAAUGGGGGAAACCCUGAUGCAGCGACGCCGCGUGGAGGAAGAAGGUCUUCGGAUUGUAAACUCCUGUUGUUGGGGAAGAUAAUGACGGUACCCAACAAGGAAGUGACGGCUAACUACGUGCCAGCAGCCGCGGUAAAACGUAGGUCACAAGCGUUGUCCGGAAUUACUGGGUGUAAAGGGAGCGCAGGCGGGAAGACAAGUUGGAAGUGAAAUCUAUGGGCUCAACCCAUAAACUGCUUUCAAAACUGUUUUUCUUGAGUAGUGCAGAGGUAGGCGGAAUUCCCGGUGUAGCGGUGGAAUGCGUAGAUAUCGGGAGGAACACCAGUGGCGAAGGCGGCCUACUGGGCACCAACUGACGCUGAGGCUCGAAAGUGUGGGGUAGCAAACAGGAUUAGAUACCCUGGUAGUCCACACCGUAAACGAUGAUUACUAGGUGUUGGAGGAUUGACCCCUUCAGUGCCGCAGUUAACACAAUAAGUAAUCCACCUGGGGAGUACGACCGCAAGGUUGAAACUCAAAGGAAUUGACGGGGGCCCGCACAAGCAGUGGAGUAUGUGGUUUAAUUCGACGCAACGCGAAGAACCUUACCAAGUCUUGACAUCCCUUGACAGGCAUAG